RNAcentral lists this ribosomal RNA (465 nucleotides) under Vreelandella stevensii. RNAcentral's name for it is "partial 16S ribosomal RNA". It matches the Rfam family "Bacterial small subunit ribosomal RNA", at positions 338 to 795 of the family's 1533-position model. Lineage: Bacteria; Pseudomonadati; Pseudomonadota; Gammaproteobacteria; Oceanospirillales; Halomonadaceae. The record is from RNAcentral.
CCUACGGGGGGCUGCAGUGGGGAAUAUUGGACAAUGGGGGCAACCCUGAUCCAGCCAUGCCGCGUGUGUGAAGAAGGCCCUCGGGUUGUAAAGCACUUUCAGUGAGGAAGAACGCCUGGUGGUUAAUACCCAUCAGGAAAGACAUCACUCACAGAAGAAGCACCGGCUAACUCCGUGCCAGCAGCCGCGGUAAUACGGAGGGUGCGAGCGUUAAUCGGAAUUACUGGGCGUAAAGCGCGCGUAGGUGGCUUGAUAAGCCGGUUGUGAAAGCCCCGGGCUCAACCUGGGAACGGCAUCCGGAACUGUCAAGCUAGAGUGCAGGAGAGGAAGGUAGAAUUCCCGGUGUAGCGGUGAAAUGCGUAGAGAUAGGGAGGAAUACCAGUGGCGAAGGCGGCCUUCUGGACUGACACUGACACUGAGGUGCGAAAGCGUGGGUAGCAAACAGGAUUAGAUACCCUAGUAGUC